RNAcentral lists this ribosomal RNA (771 nucleotides) under Osornophryne guacamayo (Guacamayo plump toad). RNAcentral describes it as "partial 16S ribosomal RNA". It matches the Rfam family "Bacterial large subunit ribosomal RNA", at positions 1473 to 2547 of the family's 2925-position model. Lineage: Eukaryota; Metazoa; Chordata; Amphibia; Anura; Bufonidae. The record is from RNAcentral.
CGUACUAAGCAAUACUAUACCUCUAUAGAAAAUUUUAUGUUAAAACUAGUAACAAGAAGACAGACCUUCUCUUAAAUGUAAACGUAAAUCAUAAGGACAAACCACUGAUAUUUAACGCUCAAGAACCAGAAGUAAUAACCAACCAAGAAAACUUUACUUUAAUUAACGUUAACCUAACACAAGAGCAUUUCAAGAAAGAUUAAAAGAAAAAGAAGGAACUCGGCAAACUUUAACCUCGCCUGUUUACCAAAAACAUCACCUCUUGAUAAUAAUGAGAGGCCCAGCCUGCCCAGUGACCCAGUUCAACGGCCGCGGUAUCCUAACCGUGCGAAGGUAGCGUAAUCACUUGUUCUUUAAAUAAGGACUAGUAUGAACGGCAUCACGAGGGUUAUGCUGUCUCCUUUUUCCGAUCAGUGAAACUAAUUUCCCCGUGAAGAAGCGGGGAUAAAAUUAUAAGACGAGAAGACCCUAUGGAGCUUCAAACAACACAACAAAUGCCAAACAACUUAAAAAUUUCAUAACUCCAAAUUUACUCAGCAUUAUGAUUGUUAGUUUUAGGUUGGGGUGACCGCGGAGCAAAACACAACCUCCACAUUGAAAGAAUUUUAUUCUAAGCCAAGAACCACAACUCAAAGCAUCUAUAUAUUGACAUUAAUUGACCCAAUAAACUUGAACAACGAACCAAGUUACCCUAGGGAUAACAGCGCAAUCUACUUCAAGAGCCCCUAUCGACAAGUAGGUUUACGACCUCGAUGUUGGAUCAGGGUCUCC